This 415-nucleotide ribosomal RNA is filed under the name uncultured beta proteobacterium. Its description in RNAcentral is "bacterial SSU rRNA". It matches the Rfam family "Bacterial small subunit ribosomal RNA", at positions 9 to 429 of the family's 1533-position model. Lineage: Bacteria; Pseudomonadati; Pseudomonadota; Betaproteobacteria. The record is from RNAcentral.
GAGUUUGAUCGUGGCUCAGAUUGAACGCUGGCGGAAUGCUUUACACAUGCAAGUCGAGCGGCAGCGCGGGGCAACCUGGCGGCGAGCGGCGAACGGGUGAGUAAUACAUCGGAACGUACCCAGUUGUGGGGGAUAGCCCGGCGAAAGCCGGAUUAAUACCGCAUACGACCUGAGGGUGAAAGCGGGGGAUCGCAAGACCUCGCGCAGUUGGAGCGGCCGAUGGCGGAUUAGCUAGUUGGUGGGGUAAAGGCCUACCAAGGCGACGAUCCGUAGCUGGUCUGAGAGGACGACCAGCCACACUGGAACUGAGACACGGUCCAGACUCCUACGGGAGGCAGCAGUGGGGAAUUUUGGACAAUGGGGGCAACCCUGAUCCAGCCAUUCCGCGUGAGUGAAGAAGGCCUUCGGUUGUAAG